CGUUGUUCGGAAUUACUGGGCGUAAAGGGCGCGUAGGCGGUGUGUCAAGUCAGGCGUGAAAGCCCCGGGCUCAACCUGGGAACCGCGCUUGAGACUGGCACGCUAGAGUUCGGGAGAGGAUGGUGGAAUUCCCAGUGUAGAGGUGAAAUUCGUAGAUAUUGGGAAGAACACCGAUGGCGAAGGCAGCCAUCUGGACCGACACUGACGCUGAGGCGCGAAAGCGUGGGGAGCAAACAGG
Molecule: ribosomal RNA, 238 nt
Filed under: uncultured bacterium
Lineage: Bacteria
Description: partial 16S ribosomal RNA
Rfam family: Bacterial small subunit ribosomal RNA
Source: RNAcentral